Molecule: transfer RNA, 87 nt
Filed under: Trametes cinnabarina
Lineage: Eukaryota; Fungi; Basidiomycota; Agaricomycetes; Polyporales; Polyporaceae
Description: Pycnoporus cinnabarinus tRNA
Rfam family: tRNA
About the family: Transfer RNA (tRNA) molecules are approximately 80 nucleotides in length. Their secondary structure includes four short double-helical elements and three loops (D, anti-codon, and T loops). Further hydrogen bonds mediate the characteristic L-shaped molecular structure. tRNAs have two regions of fundamental functional importance: the anti-codon, which is responsible for specific mRNA codon recognition, and the 3' end, to which the tRNAs corresponding amino acid is attached (by aminoacyl-tRNA synthetases). tRNAs cope with the degeneracy of the genetic code in two manners: having more than one tRNA (with a specific anti-codon) for a particular amino acid; and 'wobble' base-pairing, i.e. permitting non-standard base-pairing at the 3rd anti-codon position.
Source: Rfam by way of RNAcentral
CCCCCGAUAGCUCAGUUGGAAGAGCGCAAGACUGUAAUGGGAAACCAACUCAUCUUGAGGUCACUAGUUCGAACCUGGUUCGGGGGA